Molecule: unclassified non-coding RNA, 918 nt
Filed under: Nilaparvata lugens (brown planthopper)
Lineage: Eukaryota; Metazoa; Arthropoda; Insecta; Hemiptera; Delphacidae
Description: putative gustatory receptor 28a, transcript variant X3
Source: RNAcentral
AUACAGGCAAAGGCACUUGGACACUGCUGGUCAGUAAUUCGCUCUUUUGAUAGUCUGAUCGUGGACUAGUGAAGCGGUCUGUCUUUUCCCUCUCCCACCAGUUUCCUCCAUCUGCUUUGCGGAAUAGAAUGAGAGGGAAGGCGAAGAAGAUCAAAAUCUUCUUGCUUACUCUAUUACCAUCAAAAUUAUACCACAACUCCCAUCUGGAAAUUGCAUCUCCAAAAGAUUUGACGAAGUUAUAAAUGAGAUUGAUUCUAUAUUAAUGAGCCGACCAGGAACGAGCUGCUAGGGUAACGCAUGUGAUGUUAUCAUUCUUCCUGUUGUAGGAUUUUAUGCAGAAAAUAGCUGGCUUGGGAUCUAACGCUCAUAACCGGUUCUCUCAUCCUAUGUUCUACACAUGCAAAGGUAAGCAACACAAGUAUCCUGGUGCACGCUCUUCUUAAUAAUGAAGACACAAAUUCUGAUUUGAACGAAGAUUUACUGUUAUUCUCAAACCAACUGAGUCAUGAAAAAGUUGUAUUUACUGCGUGCGGAUUUUUCAACUUGGAUUUCACCCUUAUAAACACAGUGUUUGGUGCAGUUUCAACUUAUAUGAUCAUCCUCAUCCAAUUCCAGAUAACAUCAUAGGUGUAGCUAAAUAUUUAAAUGCACAAACAAAGCUUCAAGGUUUUAAUUUAUAGCUGCAUCAUAAUUAUAUGAGGAAAAGUGGUAAUUUUGGCAUCUUAAAUAUUAUAUGAUCAUCCUUAUAAAAUUUCAGAUAACAUCAUAAGUGAUAGCCAAAUAAUCAGAUGCACAGAUAAAAUUUAAAGUUCUAAUUUACAGCUUCAUAAAAAUUACAUGAGAAAAACUGGUCGCAUUUUGUCAUCUUUAAAUGAAAGCUCAAAUGAGAAAUGGAUAAUAAAAGUUUAAGAGCAUGAA